AGCGAACGCUAGCGGCGGGCCUAACACAUGCAAGUCGAGCGCAUACCUUCGGGUAUGAGCGGCGGACGGGUGAGUAACACGUAGGUAAUCUACCCUUUGGUGGGGAAUAACCCGGGGAAACUCGGGCUAAUGCCGCACGAGGUCUACGGAUCAAAGCCUUCGGGCGCCAGAGGAUGAGCCUGCGUUGCAUUACCUAGUUGGCGGGGUAACGGCCCACCAAGGGGACGAUGCAUAGCUGGUCUGAGAGGAUGAUCAGCCACACUGGGACUGAGACACGGCCCAGACUCCUACGGGAGGCAGCAGUGGGGAAUAUUGCGCAAUGGGGGGAAACCCUGACGCAGCUACGCCGCGUGGGUGAUGAAGGCCUUCGGUUGUAAAGACCCUGUCGGGAGGGACGGAAUUCUGACGGUACCUCCCAACGAAAGACACCGGCUAACUACCGUGCCAGCAGCCGCGGUAAU
Molecule: ribosomal RNA, 461 nt
Filed under: uncultured bacterium
Lineage: Bacteria
Description: bacterial SSU rRNA
Rfam family: Bacterial small subunit ribosomal RNA
Source: RNAcentral